UUUACCAAAAAGAAAUUGUGUUCUUCCUCUCCAAGAUAUUUCUCUCUCUAUCUAGAAGUUUGAAGAAGAAUAUUAAAUCUAAGGUUCAAGCUUUGAGUCUCCAUUCUCUCUAAUCUCUUAUGUUUUAAUAAUAAGGGUCCACCAAUCUCGAUUCUCCUCGCAGUCGCUAGGAUCCUUAGUAUAGGCAGGAAUGAAGAUAGGAUCCAACGAUCUCGAUUCUUAUCCCCGUGGAUAGGAUCCUUAGUAGAGGAAAGAUUUAAGAUUGGUUUUCUCACACUUGAAAAGAAAUCGUGACUCAGAUGCUUAAGAAGGUCACCCUACUCAACAUGGUACUUCAUCUAGUUGUGGAGGCAGACAAUGUUAGAACAUAUUUUAUGCUCUUCAGAAUUUACCUGAUUAGGAGGCCUCCUCUGAUAUAGACACUGGUAUGUUGUGAGCCAUUCCGUAAAAUAUUUAUGACUUUAAGUCCGGGUGAUACAUUGGUGAAUCCUUAUGUUGCUAUGAAGUCUGAGGUUAGUCCUGAAAUCUCUGAAGAAUGGUUUAGUCUCUACCCAUGUCGAUGAUUCUGUUCAAAUUAAACGGGUUUUCAGAAAUUACAAGGUCUCAAUUUGUUUUCGUACAAAAUCACCUUAGUUGAUGUAAUAUAGUUGUAUAUGAUUUAUUUUGAUGUUAUUCUUGGUAUAGAUUUUCUUCAUACUUACUAUUCCUCUAUUGAUAGUAGAAAUAUAAAUGGUUAGGUUUGAGUUUCUGAAUGAGCCGGUUAUAGAGCGGGAAGGUAUUAAUUCAGCACUUAAUGGUUGGUUUAUCUCGUGCCUUAAGGCCAGAAAAAUGAUUUUUAAGGUUGAAUCUAUUAUCUAGUUAGGGUUAAAGAUAUGUUUCCAGAACCCCUACUCUUGAGUUAGUCUUGUUGUGAAUGAAUUGAAACUAUUUCCUGAUGAUUUUCCUAGAGUUUAUCUCGGAAGAGAAAUUGAUUAUAUUCCUUAUUUUAUAAUGUCUCCGAUAGAAAUUGAAGAGUUGAAGAAUCAGUUAAACGACCACUUGUAUAAGGGUUUCAUUAGGCCACGUAUUUAUCCAUUGGGUGCUCCAGUGCUCUUUAUUUGAAAUAAUGAUGGUUCUCUUAAAAUGUAUAUUAAUUAUUGGCAAUUGAACCAGGUCAUGAUUAAGAAUUAAUAUCCCAUCCCAAGAAUAAAUGAUUUGUUUAAUAAUUUUUAGGGGUGCUAGAGUAUUCUCUAAGAUUGACAUCAGAACAUGUUAUUUCAACUUAUAGUGAGAGAAUGUGACAUUUGAACACAACCUUCAGAAUUUUUAUGGUUACUAUGAAUUUGUAGUUAUGUAUUUUAGACUAAAUAAUGGUCAUGUAAAUUUAAUUGAUUUGAUGAGUAGUCUAUUCAACAAUACUUGGAUAUGUUCUUUAUUUUUCCAUUGAUGAAAUCUUCAUCUAUUCUCGAAAUUAGGACAAACAUGACAAUCAUUUGAGGAUUGUCUUGCAAGUUCUCAAGAAUCAUCAGUUAUUUGCUAUGAUUAAGAAGUGUGAAUUUUUGUUAGGUCAGCAUCAUUUCAUGGCCAUAUUGUUUCUAGAGAAGGUAUUCUAGUUGAUCCUUAGAAGACCUAUGUAGUUAAGAACUGACCUAGACCGGAUUUUCCCUUGGGCAUUCAGAGUUUUUUAGAUUUAGCCGGUUACUAUAGAUGGGUUCUUAAAGGAUUUUCUUCUAUUUCUUUGCCUUUGAAUUCUUUGACUCAGAGAUGUAAAAUUUAAGUGGUUUGAAGCUUGGCAAAAGAGUUUUCAAGAGUUGAAAACUUGACUUUCUUUAGCGCAGAUUUUGACUUUAGAAGAUGUUUUCUAUGGUAUAAUUGUGUAUUGUUAUGCCUUAAGGGUUGGAAUUUCUUGUGUUUUAAUGUGACAUGGUAAGGUGAUAGACUAUGCUUCUAAGCAACUCGAAGUUUAAGAGAAGAAUUGCCCAAGUCAUAAUUCACAGUUGUCAGUGGUGGUUUAUGCCAAAAAAUUAUAGAGACAGUAUAUCUAUGGUGCUACUAUGGAUAUGCUCACAGAAGAGUCUUUAAUAUGUAUUUAAGUAAAAAGAUUUGAAACUUCGCCAAGGAGGUGGCCGGACUUGUUAAAAGAUUAUGAUAUGAGUGUUUUUACCAUCCAGGAUGCCUUUCAGUUUUUACCAUUUUAAAAAAUAUCUAUCUUAUGGUUCCCUUUAUCAUAUUAUUAUUGUUGUUUCUCUAUUAGAUAUGUCUAGUUUUAUUAAUGCAUGUUAUUUGGGUUUUAGAUUGCCUACUAAGACUAAUGGUAGGUGCCAAUCAUGAUUCGCUUUUGGGGCAUGAUACUUUCUGCACUUGUUACUAAUUUAAGUUGUUCUUUUAUCCAUACAAGUGUAUUGUGUUUCUACUAAUAUUACUUUUUAACCUUUGGCUGAGUGCAGAUAGGAAUCCAGAGUCUUCUAGCCCAAACAUCUUUUCCAUUAAUAUUGAACUUAGCAAUAGGUUUUGUGCUCAAAAUCUAAUCAAUGGUUGAAACAUCACGAACCACCAUUUGGGCAUAUAACAAAAGUUUUGAUGAAGUUGGUGGAGGCAUAUGCACAUCCUCAACAAAAUCUAUAUAUUUUGAGUUAAAGAGUUCAACCACUUCUUUUUUAGUCAUAUGUUCACCCCUUGAUAAUGUCAAAAACAUAGUCCUAUCGUCAACUUGUGAUUUAGGUUUCAAGGACCAAAUAUUUUCCAGUGGUCCGUUCUUAUUCGGGAUAAUAUAAUCCAAACUUCUGAGAAUCACUGUUAUGAUACCAAAUGUUUGAUGAGGGAAUCCAGGGACAUGGAUGGGAAAAUUCAGGGGCACCUUUGGAUAUCCUUUUGACAAGACCCAAACUAAAAUAUCUGCAAAAACGAUGGAACAUACAUCGUUUAAGUAAUUUUUAUUCCACUUUUCAUGGUGAACCUAAUUUUGUAGAAAUUAUGUAAUGAAAUUGCUCUAUCCAUAACCAUAGCAGUAAUUGUCAUACCCCUUGCUAGAUUUGAUUUAGGGGAACCUUUGAUUGCACCCACCUCAAGCACAUGACCGCUUCUUUUGCCAGUAGAUUGAUUUCCAUGAUAGGUACAACUAAAAAUUUAACAAUUAAAUUCAAACAACUCACAUGGUUACGUAGCCAUAGACACAUAGCCAUUUCUAAAAGAGACAUACCUGGAGCAUGAUGUAAGAUCAGGACCAACCUAAUGAAGAGUUCUUGAUCAAAACUAUGGAAUGAAUGCAGGUCUUUGAGGGUGAUGCUUUUUGAUGCCAUUGUUGUGUACCAGUAAUGAAAGGGUGAUCUCAUAGCCUUUAUAUAACAUUGGAAGGAGUGACUUUAAAUUUGUUAGACUUUUUUAUUCCUUAAUUCACUUGCCAAAAUUAAUUUGUAGUUAAUGAAGAUACAACUCCUUAUGCUUAUUCUACUUUACAUUUUAUGAUUUAUUAUUUACUUACCAAAAAGAAAAAUUUUAAUAAAUGAUGUAUACAAUUUA
Molecule: long non-coding RNA, 3498 nt
Organism: Solanum lycopersicum (tomato)
Lineage: Eukaryota; Viridiplantae; Streptophyta; Magnoliopsida; Solanales; Solanaceae
Source: RefSeq, a predicted model, not a curated record